GCCUGCUCACUGAUAAUAUUUAAGAGCCGCGGUAUUUUGACCGUGCAAAGGUAGCAUAAUCAUUAGUCUCUUAAUUAGAGGCUGGAAUGAAUGGCUUGACGAGAAAUUAACUGUCUCUUGAUAAUAUUUUGAAUUUAACUUUUAAGUCAAAAGGCUUAAAUAUUUUUUAAGGACGAGAAGACCCUAUAGAGCUUAACAUUAAAUUUAUAUUUGGUUUUUAGUUUAUCUUUCUAUAUAUAACUGUAAUGUUUUGUUGGGGUGACAUGAAGAAUUAAUAAACUCUUCAUUUUUUAAUCAUUAAUUUAUGUUUAUUUUGAUCCAUAAUUUAUGAUCAUAAGAUUAAGUUACCUUAGGGAUAACAGCGCAAUUGAUUUUGAGAGCUCAAAUCAACA
Molecule: ribosomal RNA, 392 nt
Filed under: Amesotropis valga
Lineage: Eukaryota; Metazoa; Arthropoda; Insecta; Orthoptera; Acrididae
Description: partial 16S ribosomal RNA
Rfam family: Archaeal large subunit ribosomal RNA
Source: RNAcentral